RNAcentral lists this ribosomal RNA (1556 nucleotides) under Salmonella enterica. RNAcentral's name for it is "bacterial SSU rRNA". It matches the Rfam family "Bacterial small subunit ribosomal RNA". The record is from RNAcentral. Lineage: Bacteria; Pseudomonadati; Pseudomonadota; Gammaproteobacteria; Enterobacterales; Enterobacteriaceae. RNAcentral also lists the same sequence under 1 other name.
UUAAAUUGAAGAGUUUGAUCAUGGCUCAGAUUGAACGCUGGCGGCAGGCCUAACACAUGCAAGUCGAACGGUAACAGGAAGCAGCUUGCUGCUUCGCUGACGAGUGGCGGACGGGUGAGUAAUGUCUGGGAAACUGCCUGAUGGAGGGGGAUAACUACUGGAAACGGUGGCUAAUACCGCAUAACGUCGCAAGACCAAAGAGGGGGACCUUCGGGCCUCUUGCCAUCAGAUGUGCCCAGAUGGGAUUAGCUAGUUGGUGAGGUAACGGCUCACCAAGGCGACGAUCCCUAGCUGGUCUGAGAGGAUGACCAGCCACACUGGAACUGAGACACGGUCCAGACUCCUACGGGAGGCAGCAGUGGGGAAUAUUGCACAAUGGGCGCAAGCCUGAUGCAGCCAUGCCGCGUGUAUGAAGAAGGCCUUCGGGUUGUAAAGUACUUUCAGCGGGGAGGAAGGUGUUGUGGUUAAUAACCGCAGCAAUUGACGUUACCCGCAGAAGAAGCACCGGCUAACUCCGUGCCAGCAGCCGCGGUAAUACGGAGGGUGCAAGCGUUAAUCGGAAUUACUGGGCGUAAAGCGCACGCAGGCGGUCUGUCAAGUCGGAUGUGAAAUCCCCGGGCUCAACCUGGGAACUGCAUUCGAAACUGGCAGGCUUGAGUCUUGUAGAGGGGGGUAGAAUUCCAGGUGUAGCGGUGAAAUGCGUAGAGAUCUGGAGGAAUACCGGUGGCGAAGGCGGCCCCCUGGACAAAGACUGACGCUCAGGUGCGAAAGCGUGGGGAGCAAACAGGAUUAGAUACCCUGGUAGUCCACGCCGUAAACGAUGUCUACUUGGAGGUUGUGCCCUUGAGGCGUGGCUUCCGGAGCUAACGCGUUAAGUAGACCGCCUGGGGAGUACGGCCGCAAGGUUAAAACUCAAAUGAAUUGACGGGGGCCCGCACAAGCGGUGGAGCAUGUGGUUUAAUUCGAUGCAACGCGAAGAACCUUACCUGGUCUUGACAUCCACAGAAGAAUCCAGAGAUGGAUUGGUGCCUUCGGGAACUGUGAGACAGGUGCUGCAUGGCUGUCGUCAGCUCGUGUUGUGAAAUGUUGGGUUAAGUCCCGCAACGAGCGCAACCCUUAUCCUUUGUUGCCAGCGAUUAGGUCGGGAACUCAAAGGAGACUGCCAGUGAUAAACUGGAGGAAGGUGGGGAUGACGUCAAGUCAUCAUGGCCCUUACGACCAGGGCUACACACGUGCUACAAUGGCGCAUACAAAGAGAAGCGACCUCGCGAGAGCAAGCGGACCUCAUAAAGUGCGUCGUAGUCCGGAUUGGAGUCUGCAACUCGACUCCAUGAAGUCGGAAUCGCUAGUAAUCGUGGAUCAGAAUGCCACGGUGAAUACGUUCCCGGGCCUUGUACACACCGCCCGUCACACCAUGGGAGUGGGUUGCAAAAGAAGUAGGUAGCUUAACCUUCGGGAGGGCGCUUACCACUUUGUGAUUCAUGACUGGGGUGAAGUCGUAACAAGGUAACCGUAGGGGAACCUGCGGUUGGAUCACCUCCUUACCUUAAAGAAGC